AGGAUAAUAGUUAAAUAAUAACAUUUAAUUUGCAUUUAAAAAUUAUUCUUAGAAUUUAUCUUA
This 63-nucleotide transfer RNA is filed under the name Sinelater perroti. RNAcentral's name for it is "tRNA-Ala". Lineage: Eukaryota; Metazoa; Arthropoda; Insecta; Coleoptera; Elateridae. The record is from RNAcentral.